AUGACGUCAUGUCAUGAUGAUCCAGUAGCUGGAGAGAAGGAGCAGGUCCAAACAGCGUCAAGGAUCAAAGUCCUUCUCAGGGCAACGGAGAUGUUUGUCAUGGUGACGUUUGCUAACAGGCCUCCAAACCGCCACGGUCCAGUUCCACGCUUCAGGCUGCAGAUCACAGAAGACUCCGCUUUCACCAGUGCUGCUUGUGCCAUAGAAGUGCGAUGAGCCACAGACGUCAGUAGGAGCCAUCAAGUCGACAUCAUUAGCAUUAGAUCAGGUCACAUGAUGUGAGAUGAGCCAUCGCAUACAUUUAAAGGUGUUACAGGUGUCUGCUGUUCACCAUCGGGGGGUGGCAGAGAAAACCACGGUGGAACCAUGGUUCAGUGUUUGAACUAGUUAACAGCUGUUAAUGGUGCUGAACACGGCGAUUCUCAUGUACAGGUACCGUUACCACGACGACGAUGAGCCAGUCUUUGUUGUGAUGCUCUGAUUAUAUAUCAACUUGAACAAAAUAUGUUACGAAGUAAAGUUAGUGAAAAAACUGAAAUCAUCUUUUAAUGCAAGUAUUUAUGUUUAUUUAUUUUUGUAUUUGUUUUAUAUGAAUUGAUCUAUUGUUUACUCACUCAGUGGCCAUGUCUUUGGUAUGACUCUUAUAUUAAGAUGUAAACUGACUUUUUUUUUUACUCAUUCUCUAUGUGUAUAAACCAGAGUGACUAUCUUACUGUAUGAUGUGGGUGUGUGAGUGUCUGCUGUGGUUUGUAUGUAUACUAUGUACAGUACCACUGGAUGGAAGGGUGCUCCAGGUUUUUUUGAUAAUGCUGCUUAAACAUCCUCUGAGUGAACAAGCAGAAAACCAGUGGUGAAAAUAUCUAUGACGAUGUUUAAAAAAGAACUGUGUAGAUGGGAAUAAUAAUGUAGUAAACAUGGCUUAAAGUAUAAGUGUCUGUGUUUUUCUCAAUGAUGUGAGAGCUGAAGUAACCGGUGGAGCCUGGUUCCAGACUGACCUGGACCCUCACAGGCCUCGUUUUAUUACUCUGCAUCUUUGUACAGUUGUGAUAGUGAGUUCUUUACGUCUUGGGUCAUCCAAGUCCCUCUCUGUUUGCUGUUUGCAUGUUCUGUGUCUGUAUCCAGGGCGAUCUCGUCUACUGACACAGGCUCCAGCAUCAUUACAGUAGGUACAUCUGUAAUCUAACACAGUCUAACACAGCAGCUGCAGUUUGAGUUGGAGCAAAAAUAAAGGUGCUACUUCUACUAUAAGUUCA
RNAcentral lists this long non-coding RNA (1253 nucleotides) under Betta splendens (Siamese fighting fish). RNAcentral describes it as "lncRNA (ENSBSLG00000024876.1)". Lineage: Eukaryota; Metazoa; Chordata; Actinopteri; Anabantiformes; Osphronemidae. The record is from RNAcentral.